GCGAGCGGCGAGCGGCGAACAGCGAGCGAAGCGAGAGGCAGCACCGUCCCUGCUAUACGAAAGCCCCAUCCAUCCCUGUGCCAUCCGGGGUGUCACGCCCCUCAAAUAUAUCCAUGAUUUUAAAACAAUUUUCAUCACAAACCAAUCCAGGAUCCAAACUAACGUUUGAGGACACUGAAAAACAUUCUAUUCAUAUUCACAUCUAUAAAACCUGUGCAUUUUAAAAUCAUAUAUAACAUCACUCGAUNNNNNNNNNNNNNNNNNNNNGAGAGGGUGGUUGGCCUUCGCCUAUUGAAGGAAGGCCUCUAGUUGACGUCGGUGACCUCAUCUGUGGAGGAAGCCAAAAGUGGAGUAGGUUAAGAUUGACCGAACCACUCUAAAUCUCGGUUUGCAUUUCCUUUGAGCAUUUUACCUUCACUGCAAACUUCUCAAUAGCUUACUGCCCUCUGCGAUUUUACGAACGAGUUUCAAUGUUCAGACGUAAAUCUGCAUUUAGACGUAAAUCUGCGUUUAGACGUAAAUCUGCGUUUAGACGUAAAUAUGCUUUUUCGUAUGAUCAUCAUAUUGCAGAUUGCGUUUACGUUUUGAGCUUUACCAUAACUGCACACUGCCUUUAUACUCCUGCUUAAACUGCAUCUUAUCUAAUCAAGUGAUUUACGAAUCAGCAUUUAGACGUAAAUCAGUUUCUUCGUACGAACGUCGGAUUUCAGUUUGCGCCGAUAUUCUGGUUUUCAUCAUAGCUGCAAACUGCCUACAUAGAUUGACUUUAACCUUGCUUUGUAUCAACUUUCAUAUAGAAGUUGUUUUUAUCGUUCGAACGCAGCUUUCGAUUUUAAUCGCAGAAAGUUUUCCGCUGCACUAAUUCACCCCCCCCCCCCUCUUAGUGCUCUCGAUCCUAACACCUUUGUUACCCAGUUUUGCUGCUCGGGGGAAGAUAUCUUCUGCUCCAAGAGAUAUUUUUGGCUUUUAUGGUCAGUCUUGAUUUGAAAGCAUCGCAUGAUCAAGUACGAUCUCCACCUCGUUGCUGCGUGCACAAUGGCGAGCAUCACCUUAUCAUAUGUUAAUAUGUUUUGAUAGGGGGGAGACAAUGCCUUGCUAAUGUAUGUGAGUGGUUGACCAUCUUGCAUGAGAACGUCUCCCAUUCUGUCUCUAGAUACAUCGGCCUCAAUGAUGAAGGGUCGGUUGAAAUCUGGUAGCGCUAGCACCCGCAUCGUCAUCAUGGCUGCCUUAAGUUUGUCGAAGGUAGCAGAGGCUUUGUUCGACCAUUGGAAGGUAUCAUUUUUCAAUAGAGAAGUGAGUGGUGCACUGAUCUUUCCAUAGUUUUUCAUGAACUUACGGUAGUAGCCUGUUAAACCCAGAAAGCCAUGUAGCAAUUUUAUGUUCCUCGGGGUAGGCCAGUUUUGCAUUGCUCCAAUUUUGAAGGGGUCCACCGUCACACCUUUCUCUGAUAUGAUAUGCCCAAGAUAUUCCACCUUUUGUUGAAGAAAGCAAAAAUUCGUAGUGGCUAUUGUGUGUUCGAAAGGCGAUUUUCGAUAUGAUUUCUUCGUACACUCGUAUUUGAUGAUACCCGGAUCAAAGGUCCAGCUUUGUAAAGAUUUAUGCUCCCUUUCAUCUAGCAAUUCAUCUACUACUGGAAUAGGGUAUUUAUCCAUGAUGGUUAUGCCAUUGAGAACUCGGUAAUCAACGCAUAUUUGCCAUGUUCCGUCCUUGCGUACAAGUAGCACCGGUGAAGAGUAGAGGUUGCAACUUGGCCGAAUAACUCCUGUUUCGAGCAUCUCUUUUAUAAUCCUUUCUAUUUCAUCCUUCUGGAGAUGUAGUGUUAGGACUCUAGCUAGGAGAGUCCUAAUUGAGAGGGACAUUCAUGUAAAACCUACCUAAGCCGACCCCUAUUAAAGAGGUGAAGAGGCCGGCUAGGGUUAUGAGAUUAUUUCUUAGAGAAGAAUUAGGAGUUGUAAAGGAAUAGGAGUCUUGAGUAGAAGUCCUAUUAGGAGUUGGUUAGAAGUAGGAGUCUUAAGUAGGAGUCCUAUUAGGAGUUAGGGUUUAGAAACCCUAUAAAUAGCCAUGUAUUCCUCCUCUUUUGAUAAGCAAUAGAUGAAUCUUUUCUGCAGCCUUUGAGCAGCAACUUGGAGGGAGGAACCCCUAUAGAGUUCCAAGGAGGCCGAUCCCCUAAAGAGAUCAACCCCAAGUUUAGAAUCUGCAAGGGUUCUAACAUGUAGAUACUGAUAUGGCCGAGUAUUUACUGGAGGUUUGCCUUAAAGAAUCGUUAUAUAAUGAUCAUACCGACGGGUAAGAGGUAGGUUGUGCGGUUCGUCAAAUAUAUCUGAAAAUUCAGCAAGCAAAAGAAGUAGGUUUGGAUCUUCAAAUUCUAUUCUCUCCCUUAGUUUGCUGCUCAAAUUGUGCCAAAAAGCUAUUGCAUGCUUUAUGCAAAACCUUCUCCAUUUGUUGUGUGAAAAUCGUCGUUAUGUCGCCCCCAUGUUUCCCGUUCAGUAUCACCUGUUUCUCCUUACUGUAAAAUUUUAUAGUAAGUUGCAUAAAAUUCCAAGAAAUAUCACCUAAUGUCGUCAACCAUUUAAUUUUGAGCAUGGCCUCAUUAUCAUCAAGAGGGACAAGGAAGAAAUAUGCAAUUAUCUCUUGGUAAGGCCUCAUGAUCAGCAAUAGUUUCACUUGCGGGCGCCUACGAUCAUACUUCAAAAUCCAUCCAUCGGCGACCUUAACGUCAAACCUGCUGCAAUUCUUGAUAGGUAAGGCCAUCUGGACAACAAGCUUACUAUUUAGGAAGUUAGUAGUACUGCCCGUGUCGAUGAGAACAGUGAUCGGUUGUUGUUUGAGAAGGCCUCCAACUUUCAUCGUUUGCGGGGUUGAGUAGCCGGCUAGUGCAUGUACCGUAACUUCGGUCGGUUGUGGUUCUUUUUUUGCAUCUUCUUCUUCAUGUUCAAGGCACUCUUCUGGAUAUUUAAUGAUUGCUUCUUCUUUUGGUUCAAUCAUAAGAAGUCUCCCUUUACUACAGCGAUGCUCACGGCUCCAUGGCUCGUCGCAAUGCCAACAUAACCCCUUCGUAUAUCGCUCCCGAAGCUCUUCUCUUGUUAAUCUCUUUGGUGUAGGGACUCGGUCGAUAGUAGGGGGGGCUGAGGGCUUCAAUAUUGCUAGUUGAGGAGUGACCCUAGUCCUCCGAGCCUCAUGGUUCAGUUGCUCCUCUUGAUGUCGUGCGAAUGAGAUGGCUGCCAUAAGCGUGUACGAUUGUCGUGCUUUAACUUCUCCUCGGAUCUCCGGCUUCAAGCCCUCAACGAAUGUCCUCAAUAGCUGUUUUUGAGACCAAUCAUGAGUUUGAUUAGAUAACCUUUCAAACCUGGUUUGGUACUCCUGAAUGGUGGAGGUUUAUCGGAUCUUUGCUAGUUGUUCGUCAACAUUCUCGUAAUCCGUUGGUCUGAAGCGGAUCAACAGUCCUUCUUUGAAUUGUCGCCAUGAAAGGACUCCAUAAGUAUGUUCAAACCAGUCAAACCACUAUAUGGCAUCUCCUUCAAGAUGUAUAGCUGUAAUUUUCACCAUAGAUGCGUCCGCGGCUUUGUGGUACCGAAAAUAUCUCUCCGCGCGCGAGAUCCAACCAAUCGGGUCUCCUUCUUCCCAUCUAGGAAAAUUUACCCUCAUGCAUGGAUAGUUGGGGUUAGUCAUAGAGCCUCCCCUCCCUUAGAACUCAUCUCUUUGGGCCUGGUGCGAUCGGGCAAAGCUCUCUUCUUGAUAUGAUUUUUUCGGGCUUAGUGGUCAGCCCAAUCUGAGUUCGGUAAAGAGCGUCCGAAUCUUAUUCUCCAUUCGCGCCUCCAAGGCUUCGAAUUUAGCAUUAAUUGCCUCCUUAGAUGCCAUAGUAUAUGCCUCCAAAUCUAUGAUGUUAAGAUCUCUCUUUUGUUGUUAGGUUAAAGGCAUGUAUAGGUUGAGAGAAGUGAUAGUCGAAAGGGUUGGUGGAUCGGUGGAUGUAGGCUACGAUUUAGGCUUGUUUUGUGGCUGUUUUGGGUGCAGUUUGAGGGUGUGGUUUAGUGAAGUUUUAGGGCUGUAGAUGAAAGUUUUGGAUCUGUGGUAGAUGGCAGCAAAGGUUUGAUAGAAAUCAGUGGAAGUUGUAGCAAGUAUGUGCUGUCUUGUAAGAGUAGAAUUGUCGUCGAAGAAACAACGGUUUCUCGACAUAAUUUCCACCAAAAACUUGAGAGAAUUGAGGAGAGAAUUGAUAGCAAAAUCACAGAUUAUAUGACAGCAAGGAUAUCUAAUUUAAUCAAGAAAAUUUCGGCAGUAUAAUAGCAAGGAAAUUGGUGCAAGUUGCGAUUGCAGAAUUCUCAUCGAAAAAUUUCAACGGGUUACGACGAAAAUUUACAGCAACACAAAAUCAUUUUUAGAGAUGAAUUUUUUAAUAGAUCAAUCUUAGAUGGGAGCCAAGAUGAUCUAUGAAGUGUAUAAUAAAUUUCAUUCAAAAAAGAUUGUAAAUAGAUGGGUUAAGGCAACAAUAUGCAGCUGAAAUAUUCUGCAGCACAGAUUUUUAAGUAUAGCAAAUUGGACAUAAACGAUCAGUGGUUUAUAUUGAGAAUUUUUUAAUGAAACCAAAGAGAAAUCCACUGAUAGGAAGUGUCAAAGCUAUCAUAAAAAUUUCAUAGAGAUUUGGAUAGAAACAACGUAGUAUCAAGAUCAAACAAACAGUGCUAUGCGGCUGAAAUUUUACUGUGCAGAUUUUCAAGUAUAGCAGAUUAGACGUAAAAUAUCAAUGGUUUAUAUUGAGAAUUUUUUUGACAAAACCAAAGGAAAUCUGCUGUUAGGAAAUGUCAAAGAUGUCAUAAAAAUUUCGUAGAGAUUUGGAUAGAAAGAACACAGUAGCAAGAUCAAAUAGACGGUGCUAUACGGUUGGAAUUCUGCAAUGUAUCUUUCAUCGUAGAGAUGAAAACUUUAUGACGAAAAGUUUAUGCAGCAAUAUAGGAAUAAUUUUUUUGGGAUUUUCAAAUAAGGAUAACUAAAUUACAGCAGUAGUAAGGUAGAAAAUCAGAACCUGUUGCAAUUCACGGGGAGAUCAAAGGAUGAUCCGUGGUGGUGGAGAUGAUGGCGGAAUUCGACGACGAUCUUUUAAGCAAUUGUGGGAAUUGCUUUGGGCAGUUGUGGAGGGCUGAUGGAUGGCAAUGGAAGGGCAGCGAGAUGCCAAGAACGCUGCUCUGAUACCAGGUGUUAGAACCCUUGCAGAUUCUAAACUUGGGGUUGAUCUCUUUAGGGGAUCGGCCUCCUUGGAACUCUAUAGGGGUUCCUCCCUCCAAGUUGCUACUUAAAGGCUGCAGAAAAGAUUCAUCUAUUGCUUAUCAAAAGAGAAGGAAUACAUGGCUAUUUAUAGGGUUUCUAAACCCUAACUCCUAAUAGGACUCCUACUCAAGACUCAUACUUCUAACCAACUCUUAAUAGGACUUCUACUCAAGACUCCUAUUCCUUUACAACUCCUAAUUCUUUUAUAAGAAACAACCUCCUAACCCUAGCCGGCCUCUUCACCUCUUUAAUAGGGGUCAGCUUAGGUAGGUUUCACAUGAAUGUCCCUCUUAAUUAGGACUCUCCUACCUAGAGUCCUAACAGGUUCCAGGGUGCUGAGAUGGCUGACGUUUUGCUCCGCUCUCAACGGUCACCGCGGCACGCAAGAACAACCCAAAAAUAGGCCAAAACGGCACAAAAACGGGCCAAAACUGGCCAUUUUUGGCUGCGCGAGCGAGCAGAGAG
RNAcentral lists this long non-coding RNA (5727 nucleotides) under Musa acuminata (dwarf banana). RNAcentral's name for it is "long non-coding RNA (MACU_LNC008717)". Lineage: Eukaryota; Viridiplantae; Streptophyta; Magnoliopsida; Zingiberales; Musaceae. The record is from RNAcentral.